GCGUUAUCCGGAAUGAUUGGGCGUAAAGCGUCUGUAGGUGGUUUUGAAAGUCGAUUGUCAAAAACCAAGGCUUAACCUUGGGCCGGCAAUGGAAACUUCAAGACUAGAGUAUGGUAGAGGUAGAGGGAAUUACCGGUGUAACGGUGAAAUGUGCAGAUAUCGGUAAGAACACCAAAGGCGAAAGCACUCUACUGGGCCAAAACUGACACUCAGAGACGAAAGCUAG
RNAcentral lists this ribosomal RNA (226 nucleotides) under uncultured bacterium. RNAcentral's name for it is "partial 16S ribosomal RNA". It matches the Rfam family "Bacterial small subunit ribosomal RNA", at positions 538 to 763 of the family's 1533-position model. The record is from RNAcentral.